RNAcentral lists this ribosomal RNA (253 nucleotides) under uncultured bacterium. RNAcentral's name for it is "partial 16S ribosomal RNA". It matches the Rfam family "Bacterial small subunit ribosomal RNA", at positions 524 to 776 of the family's 1533-position model. The record is from RNAcentral.
UACAGAGGUCUCGAGCGUUGUUCGGAAUUACUGGGCGUAAAGAGUGUGUAGGUGGUGUCGUAAGUUUGGUGUGAAAUCUCCCGGCUUAACUGGGAGGGUGCGCCGAAGACUGCGAUGCUGGAGUAUGGGAGAGGAAAGCGGAAUUCCUGGUGUAGCGGUGAAAUGCGUAGAUAUCAGGAGGAACACCUGCGGUGUAGACGGCUUUCUGGACCAUUACUGACACUGAGACACGAAAGCGUGGGUAGCAAACAGG